Molecule: long non-coding RNA, 203 nt
Filed under: Populus trichocarpa (black cottonwood)
Lineage: Eukaryota; Viridiplantae; Streptophyta; Magnoliopsida; Malpighiales; Salicaceae
Description: long non-coding RNA (PTRI_LNC004321)
Source: RNAcentral
UGUGAGGUUCUUUAUUUUCAAAAAAAAAACAUCAAUGUUUUCUUUUAGUUGUGAUAUGCAGGUAAAAAAAAAAUCAAGCAAGAAGUCAGCUCAUGUCCAAUUCAAUCAGACAUUCAUCCUUGAGAACAAAAGGGGAGUAACAGUUUUCUAAUCUUUAUACUUUUCUUCUCUUUCUUUUUUACAUUGAGGAUAAUGAAAAACGU